Molecule: ribosomal RNA, 731 nt
Filed under: uncultured bacterium
Lineage: Bacteria
Description: bacterial SSU rRNA
Rfam family: Bacterial small subunit ribosomal RNA
Source: RNAcentral
AACAGGAUUAGAUACCCUGGUAGUCCAUGCCGUAAACGAUGAGUGCUAGGUGUUGGAGGGUUUCCGCCCUUCAGUGCCGGAGCUAACGCAUUAAGCACUCCGCCUGGGGAGUACGACCGCAAGGUUGAAACUCAAAGGAAUUGACGGGGGCCCGCACAAGCGGUGGAGCAUGUGGUUUAAUUCGAAGCUACGCGAAGAACCUUACCAGGUCUUGACAUCUUGCGCCAACCCUAGAGAUAGGGCGUUUCCUUCGGGAACGCAAUGACAGGUGGUGCAUGGUCGUCGUCAGCUCGUGUCGUGAGAUGUUGGGUUAAGUCCCGCAACGAGCGCAACCCUUGUUACUAGUUGCCAGCAUUAAGUUGGGCACUCUAGUGAGACUGCCGGUGACAAACCGGAGGAAGGUGGGGACGACGUCAGAUCAUCAUGCCCCUUAUGACCUGGGCUACACACGUGCUACAAUGGACGGUACAACGAGUCGCGAACUCGCGAGGGCAAGCAAAUCUCUUAAAACCGUUCUCAGUUCGGACUGCAGGCUGCAACUCGCCUGCACGAAGUCGGAAUCGCUAGUAAUCGCGGAUCAGCAUGCCGCGGUGAAUACGUUCCCGGGCCUUGUACACACCGCCCGUCACACCAUGAGAGUUUGUAACACCCAAAGUCGGUGGGGUAACCUUUUAGGAGCCAGCCGCCUAAGGUGGGACAGAUGAUUAGGGUGAAGUCGUAACAAGGUAACC